RNAcentral lists this ribosomal RNA (448 nucleotides) under uncultured bacterium. Its description in RNAcentral is "bacterial SSU rRNA". It matches the Rfam family "Bacterial small subunit ribosomal RNA", at positions 329 to 794 of the family's 1533-position model. The record is from RNAcentral.
CGCCAGACUCCUACGGGAGGCAGCAGUGGGGAAUAUUGCACAAUGGGGGAAACCCUGAUGCAGCGACGCCGCGUGAGUGAAGAAGUAUUUCGGUAUGUAAAGCUCUAUCAGCAGGGAAGAAAAUGACGGUACCUGACUAAGAAGCCCCGGCUAACUACGUGCCAGCAGCCGCGGUAAUACGUAGGGGGCAAGCGUUAUCCGGAUUUACUGGGUGUAAAGGGGGCGCAGACGGCGAUGCAAGCCAGGAGUGAAAGCCCGGGGCCCAACCCCGGGACUGCUCUUGGAACUGCGUGGCUGGAGUGCAGGAGGGGCAGGCGGAAUUCCUGGUGUAGCGGUGAAAUGCGUAGAUAUCAGGAGGAACACCGGUGGCGAAGGCGGCCUGCUGGACUGCAACUGACGUUGAGGCCCGAAAGCGUGGGGAGCAAACAGGAUUAGAUACCCCCGUAUU